Non-coding RNA from Paralichthys olivaceus (Japanese flounder), 848 nucleotides. The record is from RefSeq and is a predicted model, not a curated record. Lineage: Eukaryota; Metazoa; Chordata; Actinopteri; Pleuronectiformes; Paralichthyidae.
GUGUGCGUGUCGAUGCCGCCCGGGAUCACCAGUUUAUCGGUGGCAUCGAUGACUCGCACCCCCGCUGGGAUCUGGAGGUUCAAACCAACUUCUACUAUUUUCCCAUUUUCUAUGUAGACGUCGCAGAUGGCGGAGCGGUCCUCGUUCACCACAGUGCCUCCCUUGAUCAGGAUCCCGCUGGGCUCCAUUGCUGCUGUGCACUGCUGACACAGGUCUGACAGUGAGGAGAGAGGUGCACAGCCCUCAGAGGUUCAGUAUCGCACCCAAGGACACCGCCAUGCAGAUGGGGAAGACUGGGAUUGAACCACCGACAUUCAGAUACGGAGCUGUACAAGAGGAGCCGCAGGUUCAGACACUUGACGUAUGUGCUUCACUGAGGAGCCAAUGGUGCACAGCUGCCAUCUGUGGGAUCAUUACUAAAUGCCUCUAAAUCACAAUCUGGCCUUGAUAGGACAACACUGUAGCACUACCCAACUUCUACUGGCUUCAGUUAGUUAUUUUGAAAACCACAAGUAUCACCAACGACUGAAGCACUGCUGAAAUGCUAACUGCCAAAGAACAAAGUGUUACUCUAUGCUCACUUUAAUGUGAAUACAGUUUAUAUUCAUUUCCUCGGGUUUCAAACUUUCUCACAGUGUACUGACCAGUGCACCAUGUACUGCCUCCACUAUGUUUCUAUCAUCUGCUAUUUUUACUGUAAAUUCUAUCUGUUUGUAAAAUGUUUGUUCCACUAGAGUCAUCGACAUCUUUUAUUGUGCCACAUAUUUUCUGACAAAGAGGCUUACCUCCACCAUGAUCCAUUACUGUAUUCUGUAUGUUUUAUUCUUUUAAAAGUCCUUAAAGUCAAA